UUGUUCAAAUCAUUAUGAUCAUCAGCUGAACAAUGGCAUGGAUAAGAAUAUCAAAUUAAUGGGGAAUGAUUGGUUAUUUCUAGAUUCUUUGAGAGACCAUUAUGCUUCCACAACCAAAAAGAAUCUUAACAAAUCAAAUCAUUAAAAAGAUCAUAUUAUUCUGUAUACCGUAUCCCACAUGAGCUGCCAAACAUUGUUUGCGACCUUGCCUCCAUGAUAUCAUAUGAUCCUAAACGAAUGUUAGGGUUAUCCUAAUUUAGGUUUAAUUAUUGUGUUGCCCCCAUCGCCUGCGAUCCUUUACUCCAUUUACUCACUACACCGCAU
Molecule: long non-coding RNA, 324 nt
Filed under: Phoenix dactylifera (date palm)
Lineage: Eukaryota; Viridiplantae; Streptophyta; Magnoliopsida; Arecales; Arecaceae
Description: long non-coding RNA (PDAC_LNC000696)
Source: RNAcentral